This 566-nucleotide long non-coding RNA is filed under the name Hordeum vulgare. RNAcentral's name for it is "long non-coding RNA (HVUL_LNC017303)". Lineage: Eukaryota; Viridiplantae; Streptophyta; Magnoliopsida; Poales; Poaceae. The record is from RNAcentral.
UUUAAAAAAUAGUGACGUUCUUUUUGCAGGAAAAAAAAUAAUGAUGUUUGGAAAAAGGAAAAAAGAAAGGAGCUAGCUGAUGCUUAGCAUGUGUAUCUGGUGGCAUGACAAUCCUAGCUUGACACGGUGCCGUAAUGUCGCCGUCGGAACAUGCACACACAGCAACACAUUAUUAGCUGUGUGUGAUGCAGUUAAUGUAUAACCAUUUGGCACGAGAGAGACCAUGUUAGUGCAUUAUUUGUUUACUUGUAGAGAUCAACACCAUGUUAUUUCUUCUUUAGAUUAUUAAUUAGACGCGGCAUGUUGAUUGAUCAGUUCACAUGAUGAUCUCAGCAGCGACGCCAGCUGCAGGGGUCACACAAGCUUAAUUAUUGGCUUUGGUUAACAUCGACACGGAGAGGCUGUGAAGAGGUUGACCAUAUAUAUGACAAUCCGGUACGUACGACCGAGUUGGCACUUAGCUUGCUCCACCUGGAUGACACUCGCCAUCGUUUAAUAAUUUCGUGCCUGCAGGGAGGAGAUGAGGCUAGUUGAUCCAUGGAGUAAAGCCGGCUAGUCAUAUAUAU